This 404-nucleotide ribosomal RNA is filed under the name uncultured bacterium. RNAcentral's name for it is "partial 16S ribosomal RNA". It matches the Rfam family "Bacterial small subunit ribosomal RNA", at positions 28 to 526 of the family's 1533-position model. The record is from RNAcentral.
GAUGAACGCUGACAGAAUGCUUAACACAUGCAAGUCAACUGUGGCGGACGGGUGAGUAACGCGUAAAGAACUUGCCUCACGGAUAGGGACAACAUUUGGAAACGAAUGCUAAUACCUGAUACUGUGAGAGAGCUUUGCGUCCCAUUAGCUAGUUGGAGAGGUAACGGCUCACCAAUGCGAUGAUGGGGAGCCGGCCUGAGAGGGUGAUCGGCCACAAGGGGACGGAGACACGGCCCGUACUCCUACGGGAGGCAUCAGUGGUGAAUAUUGGAAAAUGGACCAAAGUCUGAUCCAGCAAUUCUGUGUGCACGAUGAAGUUUUCGGAAUGUAAAGUGCUUUCAGUUGGGAAGCGGUACCAACAGAAGAAGUGACGGCUAAAUACGUGCCAGCAGCAGCGGUAAUUC